Diceros bicornis minor is the source of this 1641-nucleotide long non-coding RNA. RefSeq lists it as uncharacterized. The transcript has 6 exons. The record is from RefSeq and is a predicted model, not a curated record. Lineage: Eukaryota; Metazoa; Chordata; Mammalia; Perissodactyla; Rhinocerotidae.
CCAGGAUGAGAGCUUACCCAGAGGAAAGUCUGGAGGCACUCGGUACCAAAAUGCAUCCACUGUACACCCUUCUAUGCAAACCCAAGACAGUGAUGUAGGAUCUACUACAUCACUCAGAAACUUUGUGGGGAAACUCAUUGUUAACAACACGCCCUUUUUUCUUCUUUUUUUGGUCUUGAUAUUAACAUUAGUCAGAUAUUCUGGAGUUUGGACUUUUUCCUAUUCAUGUAGGCUAACUGAAAUGGUUAAUUUUUUUAUGAAUUGAAAACGUAUCCCAGAAUCCUUGAUUCUCCGAAGCGGAAAACAACAGAAACCUGGAGGUGAGCCUGCCUGGCCUCCAACGAGGGCAGGCCUUCCUUCUGUGGAAACCCCCAUAGAAGUGUCACAGUCUCUGUUUAGAUGCUUCCAGGGAUGAAGAACUCAUUCCUUUUGAGGAGGCCCGUUCCCCAACUCAUCCGCUUAAAUCAGCAGUGACUGUCAGGACUCAGAGACCUGAGCCCAGUCUUCCUCCCCGGCCUCCGGGACACUGGUCUGAUGUUGGCCAGCAAGACGAGAAACUCUGAACUGUGCUGGCAGCUAGAAAAGGAAACCCCAAUGUGAUGUAGGAAAACUUGAAGAUGCUCAGAACAGACUUGCUACCAAACAGCUCAUCAAAGAGAUUGGGAAGGCUCGAAACGAUGUUUUAACAGAUGAAAAGGCAGAAGAGUAGCGGCGGGCGGCCAAGGAAAGCCUGGCCCGGGAGGCUAUGGAGGAAGCAGAACAUGAGCACAAGGAAGCCAUGGAGAUAGCAGAGAAGACUGCUCGCUGGGAGGAGUGGAGUAAACGACUAGAGGAAGCGAAAAGAGAAGAGAAUUACUAGAGGCCCAGUCUAUUCCCCCGAGGAACUAUUUAAUGACCUUUGUUAUGCCAACGCUUACACAGGGUCUCAUUGAGUGUUGUAAGGUCAGAUCGGAUGAUCCCACUGAUUUUCUGGCUAAGUAUCUCUUCAAGAACAAUCUUGAAAUGCAGUGAAACUUUAAAGAUCUCCUGUCAUAUACCUUUACAGAGCUAGAGAUGAGUUUAACGUUGUAAUCUGAAAAAUUGCUUUAAAAAUGUCUUUUUGGUUUUUUGAAAAAUUUUUUUUUUCUUCCUACAAACAAAUAUUUCAUUAAGUAGAAUCAUCAUAAAAAGCUCUAUGGCAAUGAGUCACUACUUCAUUAAAACGACUUCAUUUGAAAGCAAAAUUGCCUUACAGCCAAUUAGUUAUGCAGCAAAAAUGUUUGUGGUGACAAUACUUGCAGCGAAGAUGUCUACGGCAAAGAUGCUUACGGAGAAAAUACCGGACACGCCCUCUUCUCAUCUGCAUUUGUCCAUGCUGCAGACUAAGGUGGUCGGACUGAGAUGUCUUCCAGCUCUAUGCACCUGGGAUGCUUUCCAUCGAACACCCCAGGCCCCUUACCUCCUUUCAUCACAGCUACACUGCAAGGUUGGGGGUUGUGAGCCCCACUUCACAGAUAAUGAAAAGAAAGGCAAGUAACAAUAGUUCCUUCCUGCACCCCAGUGGUGUGCUCAGGCCCCUGCCUCACCAGACCGGGUUGUACUUGCCCCCCUACCCCAAAGGCUGGCAGGUUCCCAGGAAGUGCAGUCAGAGUCCAGAGUUAA